UAUGAUAACGAAUGUUAAUGUUUAAUAAUCGCCGAAACUGGGAAAGCAUGUCGUGACAUGUCGGUUAUGUUUUUUUUAUAUUUUUGCAUGCGGCGCGUACGUGCCCGCGUUAAUUUUCAUUUACGAGCGGCCAUGAACACGAAUUUAACAUAGAUUAAAUAAAGAUAUAUUACAUUCACGCGGCGAAGAUGCAACAAAACGCGCGAUUUUGAAACGUUCCAGCACGGCACGUUUUCACCUUGAUUUGUUAUCAUUAUUUAUCAGUAUCAAAACUAGGGAUCGGCUUAAAUGAUUCAAUAUGCGUUAUUAACCAAACAUUCGCCAGAUAUCAAUGAUUAUAAUUUAUAUUAUAAUAAUUUUGUUUGAUUUCUGGACGUGUUGGAUGUAUAAUAUUGCGUUCUCUGUGCUGUUGUUUGGUCUAAAAUAUUUCCCGGUUACGUGUCGGUUGCGGCGGCCGUAGUUGUGGCGCGAUGUGUCAUCACAGGAAAGUUUAUAAAUAAUCCAUCGUAGUUCGGCGUUGUCGCGCAGCUCUCGUUGCACGUCGUGCGCUUUAAAUACGCACAACAAUAAACACGCUCCGCGCCGGUUUUAAUUCCGCGUUUAUUCGCGAAUUAAAACAACGAUUGUCCAACUCCCAAGUGAUCAAAAUCGCUAGCGACAGAGAGGACAAGAGUCAAUGGCCCAGCGUCACUAGUUUUAAUUUAACGGAAACACUCUUUGAGGAUUGUGUGGAUGGCGUUGUAAAUUUUUACCUGUAAUAAUCGUCAUUGGAUUUUCGUGAAACUGUAAACUCUGAUUUUGUAAUGCCGGAGGCAAUAUUGAGUCUGGCUACCUGCCGCAUGACUCAGACAACUUUUUAGUUGUUUGCUCUCGGUAAAUCGUUUUUUUUUUUCUGUGGUAGUAAGUUACUGCUAUCGAUUCGUAGAAAAUAUAUUUCAAGCGUUUGCAGUGAAUUUUACGCAGUAAUUGAUAACAAAUUUCCUGAUAAAUUCAGCGGAAAUCAACGAAAAAAAAAGAGUAGCAUUACUCAUAAAAUAAUCAAGAUAAUAUUCUCUCCGAAUGGAGUUUCUAAUAAUUCUUUUGUUUUAUAUUUGCUUCUGGCAAAUUUAUAUUUUACCUACAAAGUAAAAUAGGAAGUAAGGUGACUGUCACAGACGCACGGUGAAAUAGCACCAUUCCUAUGCGAAUUAUACGCGUACUUUGUUCAGUCGAGACUAUAGAAUGCGAUCUGCGAUCUCAACUCGAGUGCAAUUUGCAGCUGCAUAACAAUAUGAAAUGCCAUGUGCCAAUGUACCACACUGUACCACAUGCAUUCCACAGUCCGAUUGUGCAACUUUGGUGACGUCGACAUUGGAAGCCCUCAAAGUCGUCUAAUAACGACUCUGUGAUUGCCAACAUGCCAACCGCGGAGCACUUUGCGCUUCCCCUUUGGCUCUCCCCGCGUGCCCUGCACUCGAUUGCCUUUGGUCCUUUUCGAGGCUUUGUAGCAUCGCGCGAGCAGGUCCGGGCCAGUCCCAACAAUCGACAUGCAAAUUUUCGACGCACACAAUAGGAUACUGGUUUCUCCACGUUGGUUUUGCGACGACGGAUUCGAAAAGAAAUUUCACAUCUGGUGCCACAAUUGGUGCCAAUAUAGAUAAAGACCAAACUUGCGCAACGUAUACGCUCGAGGGCCUCACAAAAAUACACGCAGGGAACUUCGGAUUAUUCAACAGAAAUCUUCGAUUGGGGAUAUCUCUUAAACUAAAAACGAUCAACGGAUUGAAGAUUAUAAAACUUUGGAAAAUUCAGAACAUCGCAUGAAAAUGAAUGCACAGGUGACUCGCAUUCGGUGCACCGUAGAAAGAUGAAUGCACAGGCUCCACCAUGUUGGUUCUGUGGAUUGAUUGAAAUGGAAACUUUAAUUAUUCACCGCGCAUUCAUCGUACAAGGUUGGCCUGUGUGUAACAACGGUCAAUGACGCUUUUCGUAAGUACAGCAGAUUUAGAUAACCAUGCGGCUAGGAACACAUUCAAACCGAUCCAUCACAUGCCAAGAGGAAAAAGCCGCGCGCGUCGCGCUGAAAAAAACCAAAAGCCGAGUGCAUCGCUUUUAUUGCGUUUGAUUGAGUACAAUCAUAACACACAAAUGCGCUGCGCACAUCGACACAUGAGCAGGACCAGGCGAACAUGCACUGGAGGCUAAAAACAAAUGGGAAGCGCGAACGAGAAGAGAAUAAAUAGCCUGCUUCUUCUUAUGACGAGCACUCAGCGGUGGCAAAUGCACAUGCACAUCAUGCGCAUAUGUGCAGAAGGAUUACAUCAGGCCAUGUUUUAAUUUGAAGGCAAUUUAUUAAGGAUCGCAGAAAUAAGAAAAUUAUGGAAAUUUAAUAGCGCAACACUUCAUAAUUGAGAUUAUUUUGGAUUGGGCCGAUCUGUUCAAGUCAAUGUUCAAUAUAGUGGUACCUACCUCAGAUGAUAUGAUUAGGAUUUCAAUCAGUUAGCACACAUUCAUACUCACAACGUGUGUUGUCGCAGCCUCUUGUGUUCAGGAAUGAUGUGGAACUUCUACCGCUACCCUCCUACGGUGCCCUGAACACGAGUCACUUCUACCGCUACCCUUGUAUGGUGCCUUAAAUGGGAGUCACUUCUUACGCUACAUUCGGACGGGAUUUUGCACUUGAGUCCGACAUCGUAGAAGGACCAUUCUUGCAUCAGAUUUGAUUUUGCACCUGAGUCUGACAUCGUAGAAGGACCAUUCUUGCAUCAGAUUUGAUUUUGCACCUGAGUCUGACAUCGUAGAAGGACCAUUCUUGCAUCAGAUUGGAUUUUGCACCUGAGUCUGACAUCGUAGAAGGACCAUUCUUACAUCAGAUUGGAUUUUGCACCUGAGUCUGACAUCGUAGAAGGACCAUUCUUGCAUCAGAUUGGAUCUUGCACCUGAGUCCGACAUCAUAGAAGGACCAUUCUUGCAUCAGAUUGGAUUUUGCGCCUGAGUCCGACAUCGUAGAUGGACCAUUCUUGCAUCAGAUUGGAUUUUGCACCUGAGUCUGACAUCGUAGAAGGACCAUUCUUGCAUCAGAUUGUUAUUAUUAAAUUUCAUUAUCUUAAAUAACUUUUUUGAUUAUUACACAAAUUGACUCCCAAAAUGUAUGUUUGUGUGUUUUCUUUAAUAAAGAAUGUUUUUAAGUUUUUCUAAUUAAAA
Long non-coding RNA from Dalotia coriaria, 3183 nucleotides. RefSeq lists it as uncharacterized. The record is from RefSeq and is a predicted model, not a curated record. The transcript has 16 exons. Lineage: Eukaryota; Metazoa; Arthropoda; Insecta; Coleoptera; Staphylinidae.